Molecule: ribosomal RNA, 678 nt
Filed under: uncultured beta proteobacterium
Lineage: Bacteria; Pseudomonadati; Pseudomonadota; Betaproteobacteria
Description: bacterial SSU rRNA
Rfam family: Bacterial small subunit ribosomal RNA
Source: RNAcentral
GGGGGGAUCGCAAGACCUCUCGCUUUCGGAGUGGCCGAUACCGGAUUAGCUAGAUGGUGAGGUAAAAGCUCACCAUGGCGACGAUCCGUAGCUGGUCUGAGAGGACGACCAGCCACACUGGAACUGAGACACGGUCCAGACUCCUACGGGAGGCAGCAGUGGGGAAUUUUGGACAAUGGGCGAAAGCCUGAUCCAGCCAUACCGCGUGAGUGAAGAAGGCCUUCGGGUUGUAAAGCUCUUUCAGCCGGAAAGAAAUUGCUUCUAUUAAUACUAGGAGUAGAUGACGGUACCGGAAGAAGAAGCACCGGCUAACUACGUGCCAGCAGCCGCGGUAAUACGUAGGGUGCGAGCGUUAAUCGGAAUUACUGGGCGUAAAGCGUGCGCAGGCGGUUUUUUAAGCCAGAUGUGAAAUCCCCGGGCUUAACCUGGGAACUGCAUUUGGAACUGGAAGACUAGAGUAUAGCAGAGGGGGGUAGAAUUCCACGUGUAGCAGUGAAAUGCGUAGAUAUGUGGAGGAAUACCGAUGGCGAAGGCAGCCCCCUGGGUUAAUACUGACGCUCAUGCACGAAAGCGUGGGGAGCAAACAGGAUUAGAUACCCUGGUAGUCCACGCCCUAAACGAUGUCAACUAGGUGUUGGGGGAGGAGACUUCCUUAGUACCGUAGCUAACGCGUGAAGU